RNAcentral lists this ribosomal RNA (253 nucleotides) under uncultured bacterium. Its description in RNAcentral is "partial 16S ribosomal RNA". It matches the Rfam family "Bacterial small subunit ribosomal RNA", at positions 524 to 776 of the family's 1533-position model. The record is from RNAcentral.
UACGAAGGGGGCUAGCGUUGUUCGGAAUUACUGGGCGUAAAGGGCGCGUAGGCGGUGUGUCAAGUCAGGCGUGAAAGCCCCGGGCUCAACCUGGGAACCGCGCUUGAGACUGGCACGCUCGAGUUCGGGAGAGGAUGGUGGAAUUCCCGGUGUAGUGGUGAAAUGCGUAGAUAUCGGGAGGAACACCAGUGGCGAAGGCGACUACCUGGCCUGUUCUUGACGCUGAGGCGCGAAAGCUAGGGGAGCAAACGGG